This 288-nucleotide ribosomal RNA is filed under the name uncultured bacterium. RNAcentral describes it as "partial 16S ribosomal RNA". It matches the Rfam family "Bacterial small subunit ribosomal RNA", at positions 334 to 638 of the family's 1533-position model. The record is from RNAcentral.
GAAGCCUACGGGAGGCAGCAGUGGGGAAUAUUGCACAAUGGGGGAAACCCUGAUGCAGCAACGCCGCGUGAGUGAAGAAGUAUUUCGGUAUGUAAAGCUCUAUCAGCAGGGAAGAAGAAAGACGGUACCUGACUAAGAAGCCCCGGCUAACUACGUGCCAGCAGCCGCGGUAAUACGUAGGGGGCAAGCGUUAUCCGGAUUUACUGGGUGUAAAGGGAGCGUAGACGGCAGGGCAAGUCUGGAGUGAAAGGCGGGGGCUCAACCCCCGGACUGCUCUGGAAACUGCCA